This 13077-nucleotide long non-coding RNA is filed under the name Gallus gallus (chicken). RNAcentral's name for it is "lncRNA (ENSGALG00010027617.1)". The record is from RNAcentral. Lineage: Eukaryota; Metazoa; Chordata; Aves; Galliformes; Phasianidae.
GGCAGGCAUGACGCAGCGAGUUUUUCCUCGCGGCGCUUGGCGCCGGCUCUCGGCGCGGUGGCGGCGAGGUCGCCGCUCCGGCCUGUGACGCGUGACGCACAGGUACGUGAGGGGCUGGCGAGCCCGGCGGUCACGUGGGGCGGGCGCUGUUGCCGCUGUUGCCGCCGCCGCCAGGCGCCGCGGGUCCCGCGCGCUCGGCCCGUCGCCGCCGCCGCCCUUCCCCCGCGCCGCAUGAGGCUGACGGCGCUCCCACAGCCGCCCGCCGCCCGCCGCCUCCUCCUCCUCAUCCGCCGCCGCCGCCCUUGAUGUGGUUCGGGGCCGGGCGGGGGACAAGAUGCCGCCGUCCAAGUCCCGCAAGAUCGCGAUCCUGGGCUACCGGAGCGUAGGUGCUGUCAUUGCCUCUGCGGUGCCUGAACAGUGGAUGGAGGGCUGGUGCUGUGACUUAGAGCUCCGCUUCUUUAAGAAGUGCUAAACCUGAUGGUUCUGAUGUAUGGAAAGGUAAUUGAAGUGGUACACUGACCUCGAGCUUCAAGGAAGAGCUGACUGGGAGCUGAGAGUUGCUUCGUAUUGAAGCUCUGGCUUUGAAGCUGGGGAAAAAGGAGUGCACGGAAUGCAUUACAGCAAGAUACACGCGUUUUUAUUUCUGCUGACAGAAUUUUAAAGCUGAUUUAAUGAUGAAACAACGACAGGGACUGGAAGUGUCUUUCACAGACAUUUCAUGUUAUACGUACCCAGCAAUCCAAGGAAAGGUCUGUUCCAUUCAACUACCCAACUAGCUGCCUGAACUGCGUGUGCAGGGGGAGGGCUUGGCUUCUGCCCAGCACUGUGAGUUAAACUUUGCCUUGUGGGGGAAGAAAAAAAAUCAGUUGUCUUUUCCUCUGAGUGUGUCAUAAACUGAAACAUUUGGGCCUGAUUUGUCACUCAGCUUUUCUGCCAGCAAAGGUAAGAAACAGAGGUAACCAGACUGCACUAGAAUACCCAAACCGUAUCUUCUGACAAAUGUUUCCUGAGGUUCCUGGCUUCAGUGGAGACAGUGUGCCAGCAGGAUCCUUCUCUGCAAGCAUCUGAUGGUCAUUUUUAACUCCCAUUAUAAUGUUGAUGUCACAAGGAAAUAAUGAUGACGUGAACGAAGCUAGGUCUCAAAGCAGGUGUAUAUACUAUGUUUAAGUGAUAAUCCUUCAUGAUUAAAGGUAAUAAUUGUAGAAUUAAGUUGUCUCAGUAAAACGCAGCUCAUGGUAUCAUCUCCAGAAGUUCAGAAACUGCCUUCUUCAUUGGCCCAGGUGUAUCAUUCCUAUAGUCAUUAGAAUGAUUCACUGAACUACGUGGACAUGGUCAGCAAAAUAGCAGCUAUGCAUAAUUAGUACCUGGGGGGGUUAAAGCGUUAAUUGACAUAGAAAGCUGCUAAUGAUGGAGUCUGAGAUGAGUGAUGAGCUAGUGAUGAAUUCUGCAAUCUUUCCUAUCUUGUGAAAAGACUUCUGUCCAAAAGCAAUGCUGCUGUUUCCGUUGCUGCCCGGUUGUACCUCACUGUGCUCUGAGAGGUCAUCCUGUGCUCUCCCGCACCCGUGCACCACGUGUUGGUGAGCUGAGCUGGGAACUGCUGGGCUCUCCAUUUUGUGCGCUGGUGUUCCGAAUUCAAACAAGGAUAAAGGUCUCAAUGCUCACAGUUAAAUUGAACACCUCCCUGUGCUUCACAAAGACUUUCUCAUGCUCAGAAAGUCGAGUGUAAAUGUGCAGGAGAUGCUACAAUUCCGGCAUGUAGGUAGGGUUUAUCUAAUUUGAUAGGACUGACAGCAUUUUGUUCUGAAAUUCACUGAACCUGUUCUUGAUCAGACCUCAACUGGUUGCUCUGUGGGCAGGAGCAGUUCUGUGCGGAGACAAACUUACAUAAGUCGCUGGGUUUGUGGCAUGAAUGGAUUAGAUGCUGCCAGCUGCUCGGUCUUUCAUAAUGAAGCAAAGUAUGUAAGUUGGCUCUGCUGUGGAAAAAGAUGGGUUAAAGACACCGUCUGCAUCUGAAAACCCAACAGAACGGGGAAGUGCAACUCCUCGCUAGUUGGCUGCUCUUAACCCUAACAGCUCUUUACUGACUACUUGUGCAGCCCAUGCCUCGCAUUGAGAAACCCUGCUGAGAUAGAAGUGCACCGUGGCCGUCAUCGUGGAGAUGGCUGAGCUUGGGACAGCUGCAGCUUGCACAAUGCCCUGCUUGUGGAGCUGCUGUGUGCCUUGCUGGUGGGCCGCUCGCAUCAUCUGUCUCCUGGAGGAAGUUGGCACUUGAGAGGAUUUCAGCUGGGCUUUCCUUCUGUUGUACAGAGGAGGAUGUGGGGAGGGCGGGCACUAAGGAGGAGGUGGGUCCUCUUUUGAGUGCCCACAUAGUACUCAGUUGCUCACGUUCUGGGCAAACUGCCUGGUGUUAGAAAGCUCAGAUUUUAUGGGUGGGCCCGACAGCCCAGUUCUUGUCCAAGGAGUAUAAGGGUGAGUGAAUAACUCCAUUCGGCAAUUGUUUUGCCUUGACAAUUACAAUGGUUACGGCUCUUUACAAGGGUGGAUACUGAUAGGACGAGAGGAAAUGGUUUUAAACUGAUACAGGGGAGGUUUAGGUUAGAUAUUAGGAGCAAGUUUUUCACGCAGUGGUGGUGAUGCAGUGGAACAGGUUGCCCAAGGAGCUUGCGGAUGCCCCAUCCCUGGAGGCAUUCAAGGCCAGGCUGGAUGUGGCUCUGGGCAGCCUGGUCUGCUGGUUGGCUGCCCUGCACAUAGCAGGGGGGUUGAAACUGGAUGAGCGUUGUGGUUCUUUUCAACCCAGGCCAUUCUAUGAUUCCAUUCUAUGGUAUUUGACGUGCUCUGACAGCGCUGGUCAGUGUGUCCGUGGUGUGCUUUGCUUUAUUCAGCGAGUGGUCUGGUGCAUGAACAGAAGUAGGACAUCUUGUUCUCUGAAAUGGUAUUCUGUCUUGAAAUUGCUGCUGUUCUGUUUUGGCAGUAGAGAAUGCUUUCCUUUACCACUCUAGCAUCAAAUCAUAAAUAAUAAAUCAUCUAUGUAGAUAGCCCUUUCCAUACUUCUGGAUGAGCUCUGAGCCCCCUGGGACUUGUAUUUCAGGUAACGUAAGUCCCUUACUCCCAACUCUUCCCUUUUCUCAUGUUUCUGCAGGGAUGGGAGGAGUGGGAAGUCUGGAGGGCUUUGCUUACACUUAUUUUGCCACAGGCUAGCCAGUGCUUUGAGUUACAGUAACCAAGUGGAGCUGGAAGAGUCACCCUAUUGCCCUGCCUCAAUGUUGCCUUUGCUUGAUGCAAUACAGAGCUGGAGGUAAUGGUCUCUAGUUGCACCAAUGGAGGUUCAGGUUGGGUAUUAGAAACAAAAUUUCUUCUUGGUAAGAGUGGUGCUGCAGUGGCACAGCUGCCCAGGGAGGUGGUGGGGUCACCCUCUCUGGAGGCACUCCAGAACCAUAGAGAUGUGGCACUGAGGACGUGGUCAGUGGGCAUGGUGGGCGUGGGUUGACUGUUGGAUUAGGUGGUCUUAUCCAACCUUAGCGGUUGUGUGAUUUAUUUCUUUGAUUCUAUGGUUUAUUUCUUCAUAGUAAGUUUAAACUCUCUCACGUUGAGCAGAGAUUGAAAAUGUUAAACCACAACCUUCCUCCGGUAAGAUUUUAGCAAGUGCUUUUUCACCUGGAAAUCACAACUCUAUGUCAGUUUGAGCUGACUUUGCCUUGUUCCUGCUCAGUACACUACUUUUGGUUUCAGUGGAUGUUUGUGUCCCUAAAACUUGAAGACAGGAAAAGUACUAUUGUGGAGGAUAAUGUGAGGAAAAGCUUAGCAAGCUGAAAAGUAUUUGGUGCCUAUUCCAAAUGAGGGCAUAUUUGAGUAGAGGUUUUUUUAGACGUGCACCUGUGAGCGACGGAGCCAUUGCUGCUGGUAUGAGCAGCCUGACAUCAGAAGCCCAUCCUAGGCUGAAGUAUGCUUAUGGUGUUGGUGCAGUGGGAUUGCAGCAUCUGCCCAUGCCCUCCUCCCUGCACAACAGCUGGGGGAUGCAGCCAGCCCUUCUGUAAGAACACAGUUGCAUGCAGUUCCUUGGCCCAUGCCUGGUGGACAGUGUAUUUAUGUUGUAAUUCUCUGAAAAUGUUGCCUGAUCUUUCUGGGGAAAGAGGAGAUAGGAGUUCAGUGGUGACCUUAAUUCUCCUCUCUGUCCGUAGUUCAAAGGAUUGGAAUAAAACCUGUGGGACAAAGUUCAAGCCAAGCUGUUGUUGACAUUGGCCUGUAUGUUUCUUGGGCAUGGGCUGAGACAUGGCACCGGCACUGAGCUGGGUUUCAUGUUUCUGGUGCCCACUUAGGGAGCCCUGGCUUAGCAGGAUACCACUGCUGCUCUUACCCAUGUGGUCCUGACUGACCCCAGGUCUGGAGAGCUCCCUUAUGGCUCCUGGGGGAAAGCAGGCAUCGUUGUGGGGGCACACAUGGAUGGCGUUACGGGGAGGCUUGGUACAAAGCUUGGGGGAUGUGGGAGGAGAGUGGUGGAAUACUGCUGUAGUCUUGUCUGUUUGUUUGUUUGCUUCUUUCUUUUUCACUGCUAGGAGGAAAGCAGUAAUUAAUACAGCUGGAUGUUAAAUGCAGCACUGUUGGCUCUGACUCCUUCCCAGGGCUCUGUUUCCAAACUUAGCACAGGCAGCAGCAGACGACGGCUUUCAGUUCAGGAUCUCUUUUAGGAGGAAAAGUGUUGGGCAGUCAUCUGUGCUUUUCUGGUCUGUAUAUCUGAGGUACCCAGAUAUCCAGGUAUCCAGGAACUUGAUUUUAAAUAAAGCAGCUUUCAGAAUGUUGUGGGCUGAUUUUUGAAUGAACUUUCUCCACUGCAAAGUAUUAACAUAGCACUGUCAAAGCACUGCCAGUGGACAACGGUAUCAAAAGCAAUUAAAUAUGGGAGAACAGUUUUACCAUAAACUAGUUUGUCCCAAAUAUCUGUUCUUUAUGAUGUCAUUGAAGUACUCCCUCUGAGUAGGAUGGUCAUGAUUCUAAAUUCUAACUUGAGGUCAUACUUUGUUUAUGUUUCUUGCUGAUGGGAGUGUGAAGGAGUACAGAGCGUGUACUCCAAAAGCAGCUAACACACUUGGCAAUCUUUAUAAGGGUAUAUUUAUCCAGUAAGCAACACGUAAUAGGAUCCAGUAGGUUCCCAAAUGUGGAAGAUGUACUGUAAUGGAAAUUGUGUUAAGGCUAUGGUAAAGCUUUGAAAAGUCUUUUCUUUCCAGAGCUUUGAAGUUGCUUCUUACAGUCAAUGUAUGUGACUCGCUUUCAUUUACCAUCUUGUCAAAUCUUUCAAGACUGAUUUGGUUCUAUCUGAGGGCCUUGUUUGCCAUGCAGGGACUGAAAAGGAUUUCUAGUUUUCCUUGCUUCUGGAUGGACAAACCCUCCAAGCAGAACAGCUCGCUGAAUUAUUUCUGUGAGGGUUGGACUCUGCAGCUUUUAGGUUAGUUUUAAACUGGAGGAGGCAUUUAAAUAAUGCUAUUGGAUCUGCAUUAGAACCAAAGCAGUACACACUGAGUAGCUUUUGCACUGUUUCUGAUAAAAGUUCAGGAGACCCAGUUGCUAAAUUUAGGGAUGUAACUCUAAAAUAGGUCACUUGUCAUCUGUAGUUUACGUGUACCACGCUGCUCAUAUCGGCUCAUCUAAAAGUGUUGCUCUGUCUGCUACCAGCUGUAAGGGGAUGACAGCCUGAAGACUUAUUUCAAUACCAGUUGUCUUUUCCUUGCUUUGCAGGAAAAUCUUCACUGACGAUUCAGUUUGUGGAAGGACAGUUUGUUGAUUCCUAUGAUCCAACCAUAGAGAACACUUUUACAAAACUGAUCACAGUAAAUGGCCAAGAAUAUCACCUUCAGCUGGUUGACACUGCUGGCCAGGUAAGUGCCUUUCUCCCUUUGCAUCUUUGGAGUUAAUGCAACAGGUAUUGGUGCUUGGGAAGAGCUACCCUGGUUGUGUCCAUGUGUUCAAAGCUGAAGCUCAACUUAAAUGAUUCCACUUUAUUUUGUUCUCUGAAAGUAAUGCUUGUAUAGUGUUUAUGCACUUUUUCUAUUGAAAUUGAAACAGUAGCUAGUGCUUAAAGUACAUAUGCCUAAAAAAGCCAAGAAAGAGCUGCCUGAACUCCAGUGUACCAAAGCUCUUAAGUAAUCCGCUUGAUACUUAUGGUCCGGUAGUCUUCUUUAAUUGGAAAAUGCCAAUUCAGUAAACCACACAGAAGUUUUUCUUGACUUUCUUCAGUCUGUGUGCUCCAGCACCUUGGUUUGUAUCCAUUAAAUAGUCAGAAUAGAAAGCAACAUGCAUAGGUAGCGCUCAUGAGGCUGCAAAGAAACUCCUGCAGUUUGUUUAUGUAACUAAGUAAGUGAAGGUUCAUGCAUGCAUACUUCUGAGCUUGGUGUAAUGAGGGGGAAUGCAGAAGGAGAUGGUAAACAAAUGUCUGUGGCGUGGUCAGUAGCGUCAUGAAAUAGAGGUGCUAAUUACACAGGGAUGCUUGGCAAAGCCUGGAGGUGAGUGUGUGCUCUGUGCUUUGAAGGGCUGUGCUUAAAAAAGGGACUGCUAAAUCCCUUACCAUCUUCCUGUUUGCAUGCUCUUACUUUCUGUGAGUUCUGGUAUUGUGCCUUUGGGUUUUCCCAAACUGUUAGCAUUAAGCAGCCAGUAAAGUACACGGGCAGUGCUUUAGACAUGAAAGCUGCAGGACAUUUGCUCAUAGCUGGGAGAGUAUUCAGGGCUGUGACCUUCUAGGACUAUUUGAUCACCUUCAAAGAGAGCUACAUGAUGUAAGAAUAACUGUGUGCUGUAAUUAUAUGCUGUCAGCUUGUGGUGGUAAUCAGCAGCACUAGAUCUACAGGUAAUCAGUCGGAGGGUUUAGUAACAGCAUUGACCACACAUACUGGGGUCAUAAACACGUUGUUUGGGAAAUUUAAACUAAAUAGAAUUGCACAGCUAGUAUUUUUCCCAGUCUGUGGUUAUUUCCAGCCUCGAUUCUUCCUGUGAAUGAGUUGAACUUUGAGUUGUGGCUCACAGGGCUAGAGGGAGAGAUAAUGCUGGGUUAUGGAAGGUGUGGUUUGAACAAAUUUCUCACAGUUCAGUCUUGCUUAAUGAUCCAUAGAGCAUCCUUACGUAUGCAGUAUAGCAAAGAUUAUAUUGCAGAUUUAUGUCAUAUACUUGAAAACUUGGCUAUAGCUUGAAAAGUUACAGCUCUGCUCGUUUUGUCACUUGGCAAAGUUCUUAAUUUGAUCCCCAACUUCCAGGAAGAGUUGUGGUCUUUUAUUUUUUUCCUUUCCUGACAAGCUAAAGAAAUAGUUUUCUUGGUACCUAUUUUCUGUCUCGUGCCUCUUUACCUCUCACAGUUACGUGUUCAGGUUUACAUAGCUGUGUUGAGCAGGAGGCUCACUAUGGGACCUCAGAACAGGAUGUAGCAACAAAUCUUUUCUGAACCUGAAUUCGAACUGUGGCAAUCCUGAGUAAUUGCAGAUAAAGGCAAAGAACUGUGGGGCUGCACUUUCACCUGUUUUACUUGCAGGCCAGCUCACAUCUCUCUGUGUUGACACUGGGAUUACACAGCCCGCGGAGAGGGCAGCGUGGCAUUUAAGCGGAGGUGGGGGAGGGCUGCCCUCAGUGUGUAGCAUUAAAGGCAAAUAAGGGCAUCAUGUGCAAGUGUUGUUCCUUCAAACUUUUUUGGCAGAAUCUGGGAAGUUGAUUUAUAAAAGGUUGUGGGGUUUUUUUUGGCAUUUGCCUAUUAAGGAAGUUUGCUUUCUGUUAGCUGUCUCGAUUUAAGCUGCAUGAUUGCACCGCUCCAUCUGUUCAGUCAUGACAAUAUACAGGGAGGUUAUGUAUCUUCAGCUAAAAUUAACAUCCUAAGAAACACAAGCUUAAAAAAUGGAGAGCUCGUACAGUAAGAUGUAUGGCUCUUGUCAAAAUGCAAAUGUUACCUGGGAACUUCUAUUAGAAUGCUUCUAUUUUAGUGUUUAACGUGAAAUUCUUCGUCUUAGUGUUGUGUUGUCUGCAUUCUGUCAAUCUGCCUCAGUUACUGAGUUGUUCAUUUGCAUUUUUACAGGUGUUGUAAACGUAGAGAUUUAUUGUCUAGGUUUGGUUUCUUAUGUUGGUUGGUGCUGAUGGUGGUAUUGCUUUGGUUUUUUAUUUUUUAUUGAAGAAUUGCCAUAUAAUGGCAACUUCUAGUUGCUGUGAAGCAACCAAUGGCUACAGUUCUUAGAUCUGUGAUGAGCAUUAGUUAGUUCGGUAUGCCACAGCUGCCUAACAGGCCCCAUAGGUAAGUUAGCUGUGGUCAGUGCCCCUUGAAGUGUGGAACUGCUAGAUCCUGUCUGCAGCUGCUGAAAUUUGGGAUUUGAUGGGAACGUAUCACUAGCAAGGUAAGAGGCAUAACUGCUAAUUAGUGGUAGGAGACAGAGUGGAUGUUUUGUACUAGGGUAAACUGAUAACUGAGCAGUGUAAGAGGAUCGGGGAUAGCUUUAGCUGAUCCGUAGUCUUAGAGGGAAUAAAGUAAAAAAGCUGUAGAUUAAAUUGUAGAGUAUGCAGACUAACAGGCUAACUAAGCUGGUGCCCCAAGCUCGCUUUGCUUUCUCUUAGUUGGGUAAAGAUUCCACACCUGGCAUUAUGAUGAAGAAACCUAAUUCUCAGAAUUACACAAAAAUGUUCUACAAAUGUGACUAUUGGCUGUGAAUGAUCUGCUAGCAUCAAGCUCUCAGCGUUGGCAAUAAGUAAUUGAAUUGCAAUAUUCCUUCUACAGGAUGAAUACUCCAUAUUUCCUCAGACAUACUCCAUAGACAUCAAUGGCUACAUUCUUGUUUAUUCAGUCACGUCAAUAAAAAGGUAACAAAGUCUGCUGUGUUCUCCUGCUUCACAUGUUAGCCACAUGCAUAUCAGCUCAGCUCCUGCCUCUGCUUUAUUUUUCUUUACGUAUGUGUAAUUCCUUCAGUCCCUUUGCCUUAGAAAUGUAACUGAAAUACAAAAGAAUGGCUUUUCAGAAUUUUCCCCUCAGAUCCAAAUGUCACAGGCACUUUGCAGACCAAAGCAGGAGGUACUGUGUGAGAAAUGGGGCAGUGCUGAGCUCCAGUGAUUGAGUGUAAGUGAAAGCACAUAGACUGGUCCCAGGAACAAACAGGCUUUGUGCUGUAGCGUAAGAGGUGACGAUGGAGUUCAGCAUGAACCACAAGAGCACUGCACGUUUAUGUGGACAACCAAGCUAGGUGUUCAUCUGUCCCUCAGCCUAGCAGCUUCUUGCAGUACUGAGAUUCCUUUGGCUUCCCAUCCUGACUCGUUCUGGUUAACCAUCAAAAACUUUGACAUAAGCAACAAUAUGAGACUCCUGGCCUGUAGGCUCACGCUUGCUAUGCUGCAGCAGAUCUCUUCUUUGAGGUUUCCCAGAGUUUCUGUCUUGUCCUCACUGCUAACUGUAGUCAAUCCUCACUUGAGGACAGGCUCUGUCAUAGCUGGAGAAGCACUUGGAAGUGUCUUAACCUUCUUUAAGGUAUUGUCAUCUUCUGUUAUUUUAUCCUUUCCCUUUGGUCUACUUGAUGUAAGUAUAGGUCAACCUUGAAUCACUCUUAGUUUCCUAAUACUGUACAGCAUCUUCGGCCAAAAUAAUCCUCAGUUUUAUAUUUCCAUUUGUUGAAAGUGAUGUUAAGACCUGAAGCCUUUCACUUCAGAUAGAAGAAAAGCACUGCUUCCCUUGUACUUGUAAGCUGAUCAGCUUUUGAUGAGCACUGAAGCAUUCCAUGUCUUCUCCUCUAAAACAGGAUGAAGUCGUCUUGAGUGUCCUUUAGUAAGAUCUUCAUAAACUGCAGGUGAAACAGCUCUCUUGUUGGUUCUUCUGUGCUUCUCAGAAAAUGGAUGUGGUCUGGUCAUCAACUUCAGCUGCUUUUAAGUUCUUUAAUGUUGAGCACAUUUUCAGUUCUUCAUUCUUGGAGUUCUCCAUUCUUGAUUUUCAUCUGUAGUUUCGAAGUAGUGAACAGAAAGCACGUGUGUUUGGGGGAAAUGCAGCAGGUGUGAGGCUUUCCUGUGUAUCUUAAGAAACUACCUUUUUUUCCUUCUUUUUUUUCUCACUCCCUUAAUCAGAGAUCUGUUGUUGGUGCUGAGUGACCUGUAUAAAGUUGGAGUAGUAUUCCCAGUCCUAAGAAGAAAUCCACAUUGUUCAGUAUUUGAUUCUUGAUCAACUCAAUCCCAAUUCUUGCUUUUUUUCUUGGAAAUUUCAAAGUAUUGAUGAUCCUUUCUUGUUCAAUUUCUUAUUUAAGUUCAGUAUCAAGAUGGUGUUUAGGCAACAGAAAAGAUCUUCCACUGUACUCUGGUAGCUUAGAUGUCUCUCCCAGGCAAUCAGAUUAGUCACUGUCUGUCUCAGUUUCUGUCAAAGUGUGUGUAUUGAUGGGAGUAUUGAUGCAGCUGAGUGGGAGCUUUGACAUCAAACUAAAUAGAAAUGUCCUCUUGAAAUUAUUUUCUUCCCUGCUGAUCUCCACUGGGAAGUUUAUAAUGGGGCUCGAGUGAAAGCUGAUGCCCUGCAUUUGUUAUAUUCCCAGACUCUCAGCUGCAAGGUUACUGGAAGGCUUUUGCUCUAGUUCAGCUUAAUUAAAUUCCAAAUUUGUCUCGUGCUGUGUUCUGUGAUCCUCUAUAUCACAGCUAGUGAUCCUUCAGGUUGUAUUUCACUCUGUUUUCCUGUAACCCUGUUUGCUUAACAGAACUGGAAAGGACCUCUUAUGGUCUGCAGACCUAUCGCUGUUUCACAACUUGGUGUGGUGUUGGUUUUUCUGGGGGGUGGAGGGGGGCUUGUUGAUAAGGGUUUUAAUUUGUGCCUUUGCUCCUUGUAGCCAUGUGUUUGAGAAUGCUUUCCAAAUUAAUUAAAUUGAUCCGGUCAGUCGAGGUUCAUUCUGGGUAGUUCUUACCAACUUGUUUCUGUGCCAGAAUCAUGUUGGAAUUUAAAUAGCACUUCCCUUUCGGUUUUCACCUUGAUCUAUUAAUAAAGAUCAGCUGUUAAUCCUUGGUCUAUUUUGCUAAAAAUUGAGCUCUAGAUGAGCAGAAACUGAGAACUGAGCAGCACAAGGUGGAACCACAGGUGAGGGCAUGCACUGAGCUGUGCAGUGGCACAGUGUUUUUCUGGCUACACUGGCAGCAGCUUACCUACCUAGUAGUAGAAAGUGAUUACAUUGGUGACUCGGCCAUCCUGUGGCUAGUAUGCUACAUCUCUCCUCUUGCUUCAGGCUGAGAAACAGUUCUGUGGUCUGUAUCAGAAUUAUUUUGAAUGAUUUCUCCUUCAGUUUUCAGGGUCAUCUGAUUCUCUCUGUCACAGCUGAACACCGUUUAACUCUUACUUCUGAGAUACCCUGCUGAAAGUCCAAGACCAGUUCUCAAGCCCAAAAUUUUGCUUAUACCUUUUCAGCAUAAGCUCUUCAUAAUCCUUAAUUCCUUCCAUUGAUUCCACGUUUAUGUAGUCUGUAGUAUAGUGUUUGAGUCAGUAACAGCAAGGUGUGCUGGACUGAGUUACUUCUUUUUGUACACAAUUCAUUUCUGAACAGGAUAUCUCCUAGCUCACCAUGGAAGUGUUGAGUUCUGCUCAGUCUGUAAAACUGUUGCUGAAGUAAUGCAAACAGACCUGCUUGACACACAAUCCUGAACUGAGGUAGCGUUUACUGUUCAGAACUGAGAAGCUUUAAGGAGUCCCAACAGCCUGAGUAGUGCUUCUGGGCACCGGUUCUUUGAGAAUCCAGAGCUUGGAUGUACACUGGAGUGCUGCCCUAUUUGUAAGAGCUUCAAUUCUAAUUUAAGCACAGUGCAAAAUGAAGAUGCUGCCCCUUUCUUCUUGUGUAGCUGCGUGUCAGGUGUGUGAACCAAGCCUGCACCUUUCUUAAAGCUCAGGUGUGCACUUCAUGCACCAGCAUCUUUUUUCCACAGUGUAAUCAGAAGAGCACAACAUCUGCUCUUUCACUCUGUUGAUAGCCUGUUCUCAAGUGUUAAAUGUCAGACAUGGGACUUCGGGCCUCACAGUGUUGUGCAGUGCUGUUUCUUAUCUCCAGUCAUGCAAACAUCAUGUGGGCAGCAGGUGAGCUGUUAGGUGCCUCAACAACCACUGCUUUGCUGUUGUCUUGCCCAUCAGGUUCCUCACUAUCCAUAAGAUAUUGGAAUUCAGCCUUCUCUUGGUUUUCACAGAAUGCCAAAACAACAUUCAAAGACUUCUAUGAGAGUUAAGGUUUAUUUAAAGUUAUGUAUUCUUCUCGGUGGGUUGUGCUGAACUGAAUGCUGUUCCUUUGAAACUCUGCUUUAGUUUGACAUGCUCAUCCAGGCGUGUCGGACUGUAGUAGCCGAAUUUCUUACUGUGAAUGCAGACCAGAUUGGAGGGGGCAUGGGGGCUUUUAGCACUGUGUGUUAGAUGCACCUGUCCUGGGUAACGUUUAUUUCUGCAAGUAUCAGAACUGGGUGGGCUGUAACGAUGUGCAAAGUACAGUUUGCUGCUGCCUCUGGGACCAUUUUGUCUGUUGUACACAAACCAGUAACACUUCAGCAUCUUUGUAGUUCUGCCACUGUACGUAAUUUUUAACACAGCAAUCUACAUAUGCAUUUAAUUGCUUGCGUAUUGAUUGGGUAUUAAGGAUAAGCAUUGGAGUGCACGUGUGACUUCAUCCCUUUAUUUUGCAGUUUUGAAGUGAUAAAAGUUAUCCAUGGCAAGUUAUUGGAUAUGGUGGGAAAAGUCCAGUAAGUAGUGACACUUUCAUCUCAUUUCACUGCAGGCAUGUUGCUAGUACUUCGUUCAGUAUACUAUAACUAUUCUGAAGUUCUGAACUUUCUUUCACAGAAUACCCAUUAUGCUGGUUGGAAAUAAAAAAGACCUGCAUAUGGAACGGGUGAUCAGCUAUGAAGAAGGGAAAGCUUUAGCAGAAUCCUGGAAUGCAGCUUUCUUGGAAUCUUCUGCUAAAGAAAAUCAGGUAACAAAUUUAAGAUUCACUUAUUUGAAUAGCAGUGUUAUGGAAUGUCUCAUAGUUUCACUUGAUAAAGGAAGCUAAAUAUCUGCACGUCCUGUACAGAUAGAUUGUGUAGAUGGUUGGAAAUAAAAUGGGUGUCUGCGUUCAGGUUUAGAUAUAUAUAUAU